Molecule: ribosomal RNA, 301 nt
Filed under: uncultured bacterium
Lineage: Bacteria
Description: partial 16S ribosomal RNA
Rfam family: Bacterial small subunit ribosomal RNA
Source: RNAcentral
CAGCAGCCGCGGUAAUACGAAGGGGGCUAGCGUUGCUCGGAAUGACUGGGCGUAAAGGGCGCGUAGGCGGAUUGUUUAGUUAGGCGUGAAAUUCCUGGGCUUAACCUGGGGACUGCGCUUAAUACAGGCAGUCUAGAGUGAGGAAGAGGGUUGUGGAAUUCCCAGUGUAGAGGUGAAAUUCGUAGAUAUUGGGAAGAACACCGGUGGCGAAGGCGGCGACCUGGUCCUUUACUGACGCUGAGGCGCGAAAGCGUGGGGAGCAAACAGGAUUAGAUACCCGGGUAGUCCCUGUCUCUUAUAC